RNAcentral lists this ribosomal RNA (467 nucleotides) under uncultured bacterium. Its description in RNAcentral is "partial 16S ribosomal RNA". It matches the Rfam family "Bacterial small subunit ribosomal RNA", at positions 28 to 506 of the family's 1533-position model. The record is from RNAcentral.
GACGAACGCUGGCGGCGUGCUUAACACAUGCAAGUCGAACGGAAAGGCCCUGCUUUUGUGGGGUGCUCGAGUGGCGAACGGGUGAGUAACACGUGAGUAACCUGCCCUUGACUUUGGGAUAACUUCAGGAAACUGGGGCUAAUACCGGAUAGGAGCUCCUGCUGCAUGGUGGGGGUUGGAAAGUUUCGGCGGUUGGGGAUGGACUCGCGGCUUAUCAGCUUGUUGGUGGGGUAGUGGCUUACCAAGGCUUUGACGGGUAGCCGGCCUGAGAGGGUGACCGGCCACAUUGGGACUGAGAUACGGCCCAGACUCCUACGGGAGGCAGCAGUGGGGAAUAUUGCACAAUGGGCGGAAGCCUGAUGCAGCAACGCCGCGUGCGGGAUGACGGCCUUCGGGUUGUAAACCACUUUCGCCUGUGACGAAGCGUGAGUGACGGUAAUGGGGAAAGAAGCACCGGCUAACUACGU